UGCAGAACAUCUUUCUCCUCCUUCAGCGCAAAAAGUUCCUUAGAAGUUACUCUCAUCUGAUCCGAGAGAUCAUUUAGCUGUGACCUCACCAGCAUAUCUUCUUCUAGUACUUCCUCACAAAGUGUCAACUCCAGAUCCCUAACAUAAAACAGACUUUGAAGCUUUUCAAAAAGUUGUGCUUCUACGAAAGUAGUCUCUGAAGAUGCAGUCGGUGGAUCUUUUAUCUUUCUAAAGCACCUAUCUAUUAGCAUGGGUAGAUAAGAAGAUUCUUCAAUCCCUUCUUGAUCCGCCAUCAUCAUUCCAGAAGCCUCUAUAAGCAUGCUGAUCAUCUGAUCUUUCUCUGAUGAAAGUUGAUGGAACUUCUCAACUACAUUUUCAUAUUCAGUUGAGAGGUUGUCCAACUCCCUUCUAACAUAAUCCUUCUCUACUAGUUCUGUUGCAAGUGAAGCACUUAAAUGAUCCUUGUUCGAUGAUAUUUGAUGUGCCAUGCCAACAAUUUCCUCAUAUUCGUUUUUGAGUUGAUCUAACUCAUCCUUGAUGUAAUGCUUCUCUUGUUGUACAGUUGAAAGUGAAGCACUCAAGUGAUCUAUCUCAUCACGUGCAGCUUCUUUUAUUCUGGAAAUUUCAUUUUGCAACAUAUUUAUGUCAUCCUUAGCCUGGAAAAAGGACUCCUUAAGCCAAGCCAAGCGAGAAUCUAAAUCAGGAAAGGAGACGUUUUCAGGUAAAUCAAUUGCACAAAUUGUGUCUUUCAAUCUGCAGAAGUCCAUCGAAACAUUCCCCAGCUCUUUUCUUUCUUUAGCAAGCCAUCCAGCUCGUCCAACAAUAUCCAUUGACUGGAGUUCCUCAGGUACGUCAAUCUGGGAUAGGAUGUGGUCAAAUGCCUCUUUCAUAGCUGCAAGGUCGCUCUCCAACAGCGGGAUGCGCUCUAAAUCAGUAGACAAAGUGCUGAUCUGAUCCCUGCAGUUAGCAACUGUAGAUUCUUCAUGUUGUAACUCAAGCCUCAGCUUCUCAAUUUCCGAGUUCUUUUCCUCAAGAAGAAGUUUCAAGUUUUCCCGAUCUUGAACCAAGCCCUUUCCUUUCUUAACUGCCAUCGAUAACUUCUCCCUCAGCAGACUAGACUUCUCCUCUGAUUGCUCAAGAGCUUUUUGCAGAACAUCUUUCUCCUCCUUCAGUGCAAAAAGUUCCUCAGAAGUUACUUUCAACUGAUUCGAGAGACCAUUUAGCUGUGAUCUCACCAGCAUAUCUUCUUCUAGUACUUCCUCACAAAGUGUCAACUCCAGAUCCCUAACAUAGAACAGACUUUGAAGCUUUUCAAAUAGUUGUGCUUCUACGAAAGUAGUCUCUGAAGAUGCA
This 1353-nucleotide long non-coding RNA is filed under the name Gossypium barbadense (sea-island cotton). Its description in RNAcentral is "long non-coding RNA (GBAR_LNC014437)". Lineage: Eukaryota; Viridiplantae; Streptophyta; Magnoliopsida; Malvales; Malvaceae. The record is from RNAcentral.